Carcharodon carcharias (great white shark) is the source of this 164-nucleotide non-coding RNA. RefSeq annotates it as small Cajal body-specific RNA 16. NCBI's taxonomy places the organism in Eukaryota, Metazoa, Chordata, Chondrichthyes, Lamniformes, Lamnidae. The transcript has a single exon. The record is from RefSeq and is a predicted model, not a curated record.
AAGGUCUUGGGAAAUGUUCAACUCCUGAGGGUUCCUCAUCCGAUACAGGAGUUCAAACCUUGACCUAGAUUAACAAAAGCUGAACUUCAAAGUUCAUCUUGGCAGUAACAGGUGUGAACAUCUUAAGAGGGUUUUGUUGUUCAUGUAUAAUGCUGCAUACAAAA